RNAcentral lists this unclassified non-coding RNA (240 nucleotides) under soil metagenome. RNAcentral describes it as "partial contains 5.8S ribosomal RNA, internal transcribed spacer 2, and large subunit ribosomal RNA". The record is from RNAcentral.
AACACUGUUAACCUGCGGUACCUGCGGAAGGAUCAUUAAUGAGUGUAAUCUACCCCUUAAAAAAGGGUGGUACCUCCCCGUCCUUUGCAGGCCCCCCCCCUUUUUUGGGGGGUGGGACUUUUUUAAGACUUUCUGCUUCGGCGGGGUUAUUCCCGCCGGAACACCCUCAAAAAUCUCUCAAAAAAUCGUUCAGUCCGAGAAAAUUGAAAAUAUAAAAAAAACUUUCAACAAUGGAUCUCA